This 513-nucleotide ribosomal RNA is filed under the name uncultured bacterium. Its description in RNAcentral is "partial 16S ribosomal RNA". It matches the Rfam family "Bacterial small subunit ribosomal RNA", at positions 28 to 523 of the family's 1533-position model. The record is from RNAcentral.
GACGAACGCUGGCGGCGUGCCUAAUACAUGCAAGUUGAGCGCUGAAGGUUGGUACUUGUACCGACUGGAUGAGCAGCGAACGGGUGAGUAACGCGUGGGGAAUCUGCCUUUGAGCGGGGGACAACAUUUGGAAACGAAUGCUAAUACCGCAUAAAAACUUUAAACACAAGUUUUAAGUUUGAAAGAUGCAAUUGCAUCACUCAAAGAUGAUCCCGCGUUGUAUUAGCUAGUUGGUGAGGUAAAGGCUCACCAAGGCGAUGAUACAUAGCCGACCUGGGAGGGUGAGCGGCCAAAUUGGGACUGAGACACGGCCCAAACUCCGACGGGAGGCAGCAGUAGGGAAUCUUCGGCAAUGGACGAAAGUCUGACCGAGCAACGCCGCGUGAGUGAAGAAGGUUUUCGGAUCGUAAAACUCUGUUGGUAGAGAAGAACGUUGGUGAGAGUGGAAAGCUCAUCAAGUGACGGUAACUACCCAGAAAGGGACGGCUAACUACGUGCCAGCAGCCGCUGUAA